RNAcentral lists this ribosomal RNA (394 nucleotides) under uncultured bacterium. Its description in RNAcentral is "bacterial SSU rRNA". It matches the Rfam family "Bacterial small subunit ribosomal RNA", at positions 30 to 428 of the family's 1533-position model. The record is from RNAcentral.
AUUGAACGCUGGCGGCAUGCCUUACACAUGCAAGUCGAACGGCAGCGGACCUUCGGGUGCCGGCGAGUGGCGAACGGGUGAGUAAUAUAUCGGAACGUACCUUUCAGUGGGGGAUAACGUAGCGAAAGUUACGCUAAUACCGCAUAUUCUGUGAGCAGGAAAGCAGGGGAUCGCAAGACCUUGCGCUGAUUGAGCGGCCGAUAUCAGAUUAGCUAGUUGGUGAGGUAAAGGCUCACCAAGGCGACGAUCUGUAGCGGGUCUGAGAGGAUGAUCCGCCACACUGGAACUGAGACACGGUCCAGACUCCUACGGGAGGCAGCAGUGGGGGAAUUUUGGACAAUGGGCGCAAGCCUGAUCCAGCCAUGCCGCGUGAGUGAAGAAGGCCUGGUUGUAA